Molecule: long non-coding RNA, 324 nt
Filed under: Aquila chrysaetos chrysaetos
Lineage: Eukaryota; Metazoa; Chordata; Aves; Accipitriformes; Accipitridae
Description: lncRNA (ENSACCG00020006164.1)
Source: RNAcentral
AUGUUUUCCUCAAAUGGUGCGUUCAAGACCACAGGGCUGCUACAUGCAAAAAUACAUCCAAUUGUAAUGUUAUUUAUACUAAUUGUUAAAUACUGUGCAUGUUUACAUGUGGUGUACCUCCUGAUGAUGACAACACCCUGCCAUGGGAUGGACCCACCUGCUCUACAACACCUGGGAGGCAAGAGCAGAUGUUGCCACAGCACUGCCUCAACAGUGAAUGAGUAUCGUCAUAUUAUCCAGUGGAGUUUUAAAAUCCUGAGUGUUAUCGUGAAUUUCAUUAGAGAAGGGCACAGAAAAGGUUGCAAUAAGCUCAUCACUGCUUGA